GACGAACGCUGGCGGCGUGCUUAACACAUGCAAGUCGAGCGAUGAAGCACCUUCGGGUGUGGAUUAGCGGCGAACGGGUGAGGAACACGUGAGGAAUCUGCUUUUCACUUCGGGAUAACUCCGGGAAACCGGGGCUAAUACCGGAUAUUUUCAACUGGCGGCAUCGCCGGUUGAAGAAAGUUUUUCGGUGAAAGAUGACCUCGCGGCCUAUCAGCUUGUUGGUGAGGUAAUGGCUCACCAAGGCGACGACGGGUAGCCGGCCUGAGAGGGCGACCGGCCACACUGGGACUGAGACACGGCCCAGACUCCUACGGGAGGGAGCAGUGGGGAAUAUUGGGCAAUGGAGGAAACUCUGACCCAGCGACGCCGCGUGAGGGAUGAAGGCCUUCGGGUUGUAAACCUCUUUCAGCAGGGAAUAAGCGAAAGUGAAGGUACCUGCAGAAGAAGCACCGGCUAACUAUGUGCCAGCCGCCGCCGUAA
Molecule: ribosomal RNA, 480 nt
Filed under: uncultured bacterium
Lineage: Bacteria
Description: partial 16S ribosomal RNA
Rfam family: Bacterial small subunit ribosomal RNA
Source: RNAcentral